GAGCCCGCGGCCGAUUAGCUAGUUGGUGGGGUAAGAGCCUACCAAGGCAGAGAUCGGUAGCCGGCCUGAGAGGGCACACGGCCACACUGGCACUGAAACACGGGCCAGACUCCUACGGGAGGCAGCAGUGGGGAAUCUUGCACAAUGGGGGAAACCCUGAUGCAGCGACGCCGCGUGAGCGAUGAAGCCCUUCGGGGUGUAAAGCUCUUUCGGCAGGGAAGAUAGUGACGGUACCUGCAGAAGCAGCUGCGGCUAACUACGUGCCAGCAGCCGCGGUAAUACGUAGGCAGCAAGCGUUGUUCGGAGUUACUGGGCGUAAAGGGUGUGUAGGCGGUUCUUUAAGUUUGGUGUGAAAUCUCCCGGCUUAACCGGGAGGGUGCGCCGAAUACUGAGGGACUAGAGUACGGGAGAGGAAAGUGGAAUUCCUGGUGUAGCGGUGAAAUGCGUAGAUAUCAGGAGGAACACCGGUGGUGUAGACGGCUUUCUGGACCGUAACUGACGCUGAGACACGAAAGCGUGGGUAGCAAACAGGAUUAGAUACCCUGGUAGUCCACGCCCUAAACGAUGCAUAUUUGGUGUGGGCAGUUCAUUCUGUCCGUGCCGGAGCUAACGCGUUAAAUAUGCCGCCUGGGGAGUACAGUCGCAAGGCUGAAACUCAAAGGAAUUGACGG
RNAcentral lists this ribosomal RNA (671 nucleotides) under uncultured bacterium. RNAcentral's name for it is "bacterial SSU rRNA". It matches the Rfam family "Bacterial small subunit ribosomal RNA", at positions 227 to 916 of the family's 1533-position model. The record is from RNAcentral.